RNAcentral lists this ribosomal RNA (315 nucleotides) under Triticum aestivum (bread wheat). Its description in RNAcentral is "partial small subunit ribosomal RNA". The record is from RNAcentral. Lineage: Eukaryota; Viridiplantae; Streptophyta; Magnoliopsida; Poales; Poaceae.
AUGAGACAUUCACUACCUUUGGCAGCAUCUACUGAUUCUGAACUUAAUUUGAAAGACAUAUUUCGAUCCAGACGUUUUUGAUGCUUUUAAUAACUAACCAAUGACAAGUGUUCUUCAUUUUUUAAUCAUAUUUCAAUCGAAACUUUCCGCGUCGAUCCUUUUUUAUUAUGUCUUGUUUUACUCCUAUAUUGGGAGUUACUCUACGUAUUGCUUGAGGUAGAACUAAUAGUGGAUUUGUUUAUGUCUUUUCUUGAAUCUUUUUCACGACUCAAUAGAGAAUUUGAUAAGCCGAUGAUAUUUUUCCGCCUUUCAUAA